UACGGGGGGGGCUAGCGUUGUUCGGAUUUACUGGGCGUAAAGCGCACGUAGGCGGAUCGUUAAGUCGGGGGUGAAAUCCUGGAGCUCAACUCCAGAACUGCCUUCGAUACUGGCGAUCUUGAGUCCGGAAGAGGUGAGUGGAACUCCUAGUGUAGAGGUGGAAUUCGUAGAUAUUAGGAAGAACACCAGUGGCGAAGGCGGCUCACUGGUCCGGUACUGACGCUGAGGUGCGAAAGCGUGGGGAGCAAACAGG
This 253-nucleotide ribosomal RNA is filed under the name uncultured bacterium. Its description in RNAcentral is "partial 16S ribosomal RNA". It matches the Rfam family "Bacterial small subunit ribosomal RNA", at positions 524 to 776 of the family's 1533-position model. The record is from RNAcentral.